GGCUCAAUGGUCUAGAGGUAUGAUUCUCGCUUCGGGCCAUUCAUUACUCCCCCCAGCCCAGCUGGGUUCCUGCAAAGGAUAUGCGAGAGGUCCCGCGUUCGACUCGCGGUUGAGCCC
Non-coding RNA from Trichodelitschia bisporula, 117 nucleotides. Lineage: Eukaryota; Fungi; Ascomycota; Dothideomycetes; Phaeotrichales; Phaeotrichaceae. The record is from the annotation of a GenBank genome assembly.